AGUAAAUAGCUAAUUAAAGUUUAUUAUUUACAUUAAUAAGAUACCUAAGGGUUUUGCUUUU
Molecule: transfer RNA, 61 nt
Filed under: Psylla alni
Lineage: Eukaryota; Metazoa; Arthropoda; Insecta; Hemiptera; Psyllidae
Description: tRNA-Val
Source: RNAcentral